Molecule: long non-coding RNA, 898 nt
Organism: Portunus trituberculatus (swimming crab)
Lineage: Eukaryota; Metazoa; Arthropoda; Malacostraca; Decapoda; Portunidae
Exons: 4
Source: RefSeq, a predicted model, not a curated record
UUGUGAGUGACGGGUGUCAGUGUUCCUGCCAUGCUAUUCUGUCUUACUGUGUGUUACAGUGGACGUUUUGAAACUAUCUACAUUUGCGUAGUGCUGUGAAGUGUUUAGGAAGAGAGCAGAGGGACGCGCGGGGCACAACACUCCGUCACCACGAGGCACAGACUGGUAAAUAGUAGCCAGGCGCCUUGCAGCAGCAGCAGCAACAGAGGGGCCUUGAAGUAGUGGCAAGGCGUGUGCGUGCCCUGCGGCGCCAUCCAGCCUCACCACGCACCAACCUGAAGGGCACGGCAGAUACCACUUUGUAGAUGUGCGUUACUUGAUACUUGAGGCGGCGAGGCGAGGAGCGAGGCGAGGACUACUUGGCUGGGGCACUGUAUACCGAGUACUGGGGCACACCAACACGUGACGGAGGCCUGACUGUCGAAAGUGCCUCACAUGGGGCAGAACGCCUCCGCCCAACCACUCGCCGUCAGGAGUAAUCUCUUUCAUUGUGACGAACUGCAUCACCAUUGCAAGUAAUGGCUGUGUUGAAGUCACGUCGACCAGAGAGGGAACAAGUACACAUCUGAGUCAGCGGCAGUGAAAACAACGGUGAGCGCCCCGCAGUGCCUCCCCUCACCUCGCACACUGCACCUUAGAGCAGCGCACCUUGGCGCCCUGAAGACACUCGGCGCGCCACGUGACGGGCGCUGCUUCUGUCAGGCUGUUUUUCUUGUCCAUCACCACCACCACAACCACCGCCACAACUACCACUACCACUACCACCACCACCACCGCCGCCACCACCAACACCGCCGCUACCACCGCCACCGCGUGCCCCCACCAUCACUGUCGUGGUUCAGGGUGCUGUCAGGUAAUUAUGGGAAAAGUCGCUUUACCGUUCAUUAAAUUUCUUCCU